GUGCAGGGCAGAGAAAGGACAUGGAGGACGGGCAAUGUGUGGUAUGGUGAUCCGUGUGGCUGCAAACAGACAGAGCAACAAGCAGACUGGGCUUCUCUGCUCAUGCGUUUGGGAAGAGGGAUGAGCCCAUCCACGUGCUCCCCAGGCGGCAGUUAAGGUCCAGCCAGGCAGUGGCCUCCUUCCUCCCUGACCUGCACUGCACGGCUGCUUCUGUCUGAUACUCCUCUUCACUCUGCAGUUCGGCCCGUGGUAGGAUGGUGAUUCAAACGAGCAUGUUGUUGUUGGAAAUAGACCGCCUGGUCCCUACCCUUUGGUUCUGCAGCAUCUCCAGUGCUAUCAGAAGCAGCCUUCACACCCCAUCAUCUCAGUGCUCCCUGCUGGGUCCACUGUGAGCCACUCUGCCAAGAUCUGGCCCCACCUACACUGUCCACCACGGGUCCUCACUGCUCGCGGGAGGGCAUUGCCAUCUGUGGGGGGCCCCACACCUCCCAGGUAGGUGAGCCAUCCUCUGCAAAGUUCCAUCUGGAGGAUCUGAUUUAUGAAAAUAAAGCCCGGUUUGUGGUGGCACCAAUAGACUUAGGCUAUUGGCUUCUCUGGAAAUUAGAAGCCAAGUACAACAACAUUGUGCUCACAGUGAAUUUGGGAGGGUCAAGUCCAAGGUGGUAAGAAGGUGCCUGAAAGGGGGAGAGAGAGAGAGAGAGAGGCCCCUUUCAGUAACUUUACUAUUUGUUACAGCAAGGUAAUCAUUCACCAAGAGGCAGGAUGAGACCAAGGAUUGCCAAGAGCUACUUUUUCAGUGUUGCUGGUCAAUGUGCACAAAGCGGGAAUCACACACAGUUCGGGGCAAAGAUGACGUGAGGAAAGGCAUAAUAUCAGGAGCACUGAGUGACAGCGGGAAACCAGCGUUUAGACUCACCUGAGUUGCAGCCAGAUUUGGAAGAGCUACCCCACCCUAGGUUCUCAUGGAUUCCUGAGAAAUAUGACCGGAAGGACCUGGCACCUCCCAGCCUCAGCCCCAGCCCUCUGUGUACGUGUGGGUUUGUGGCCUCUGACUGCAGGGUCCACACUGCAGAUCUUAUUCUGGAAACUCUGGAGUUGGGACUUGAGACUGACUCUGCUAAUGAAUUGAAUAAAAUGCUUUAUUCCCAUAAAAUAUUAGCAAA
Non-coding RNA from Heterocephalus glaber (naked mole-rat), 1163 nucleotides. Lineage: Eukaryota; Metazoa; Chordata; Mammalia; Rodentia; Bathyergidae. The record is from RefSeq and is a predicted model, not a curated record.